UCAGAUGUGAUAUACCUUUGGAUUUCCCA
This 29-nucleotide non-coding RNA is filed under the name Rattus norvegicus (Norway rat). The record is from RNAcentral. Lineage: Eukaryota; Metazoa; Chordata; Mammalia; Rodentia; Muridae.